CCCUAAUUCCAUUAAUCCCUAAAUCAAAACAAACAAAACAUACGUAGAAGGGGAAGAAAAGAAUCAGGGAAACAGAGAGGGGGAAACGGGAAGAAGAGGAAGGAGAAGAGAGGGACAGAGAGAGGGAGACGGAGAGCUCGAGAGUCAAGGAAGGGGAGGAAGGCUGCUCCCGUCAUCACGGCCAAUUCCACCUAGACCGCCGCCGUCGCCAUUGAGGGAGUCACUGCUGCCGAAUCCUAACCGUCGCUGCUGUCAGAAGAACGAACCUGGAAGGAGAAGGACGAGGUCCGUUCUCGCACCGUCCUGCUCCGCCGCCGCCGCUACCGUCGAUUGGGGUCACACCAUUGCUGUUGCGCCCUGUUUUCGUUGAUAGAGCCACUGUUGAGAGUCUGCCGUCAGAGAAGCAUCGUUGGCGUUGCUGCUACGAACUAUUUCAGCUACUGCCCUGAAUGUGAGAAGGGAGAGGAGUUGUGUUCUUUCGCUGUCGCCGUCGUUGCCGAAACCAAGACAAAUUUACCGGAGAUAGUGUUGAUGAUAAUAAAGAACUGUUAGAGUUACUGUUGC
Arachis ipaensis is the source of this 564-nucleotide non-coding RNA. NCBI's taxonomy places the organism in Eukaryota, Viridiplantae, Streptophyta, Magnoliopsida, Fabales, Fabaceae. The record is from RefSeq and is a predicted model, not a curated record.